AGCGAACGCUGGCGGCAGGCCUAACACAUGCAAGUCGAGCGGCCGUAGCAAUACGGCAGCGGCAGACGGGAGAGUAACACGUGGGAACGUACCCUUUGGUUCGGAACAACCCAGGGAAACUUGGGCUAAUACCGGAUAAGUCCGUAAGGAGAAAGAUUUAUCGCCGAAGGAUCGGCCCGCGUCUGAUUAGCUUGUUGGUGAGGUAACGGCUCACCAAGGCGACGAUCAGUAGCUGGUCUGAGAGGAUGAUCAGCCUCACUGGGACUGAGGCACGGCCCGAACUCCUACGGGAGGCAGCAGUGGGAAUAUUGGACAAUGGGCGCAAGCCUGAUCCAGCCAUGCCGCGUGGAUGAUGAAGGCCCUAGGGUUGUAAAGUCCUUUCGGCGGGGAAGAUAAUGACGGUACCCGCAGAAGAAGCCCCGGCUAACUUCGUGCCAGCAGCCGCCGUAA
This 450-nucleotide ribosomal RNA is filed under the name uncultured bacterium. RNAcentral describes it as "partial 16S ribosomal RNA". It matches the Rfam family "Bacterial small subunit ribosomal RNA", at positions 29 to 523 of the family's 1533-position model. The record is from RNAcentral.